GAUGAAGAACGUAGCGAAAUGCGAUAAGUAGUGUGAAUUGCAGAAUUCAGUGAAUCAUCGAAUCUUUGAACGCACAUUGCACCCCUUGGUAUUCCAUGGGGCAUGCCUGUUCGAGCGUCAUUUGUACCUUCAAGCCUUGCUUGGUGUUGGGUGUUUGUCUCGCCUCUGCGCGCAGACUCGCCUCAAAACAAUUGGCAGCCGGCGUAUUGAUUUCGGAGCGCAGUACAUCUCGCGCUUUGCACUCAGAACGACGACGUCCAAAAGUACAUUUUUACACUCUUGACCUCGGAUCAGGUAGGGAUACCCGCUGAACUUAAGCAUAUCAAUAAGCGGAGGA
RNAcentral lists this unclassified non-coding RNA (337 nucleotides) under soil metagenome. RNAcentral describes it as "partial contains 5.8S ribosomal RNA, internal transcribed spacer 2, and large subunit ribosomal RNA". The stretch from base 1 to 120 matches the Rfam family "5.8S ribosomal RNA", at positions 35 to 154 of the family's 154-position model. The record is from RNAcentral.